AUGAACGCUAGCUACAGGCUUAACACAUGCCAGUCGAGGGGAAACGGCAUUGAGUGCUUGCACUCUUUGGACGUCGACCGGCGCACGGGUGAGUAACGCGUAUCCAACCUUCCCAUUACUGUGGGAUAACCUGCCGAAAGGCAGACUAAUACCGCAUAGUCUUCGAUGACGGCAUCAGAUUUGAAGUAAAGAUUUAUCGGUAAUGGAUGGGGAUGCGUCUGAUUAGCUUGUUGGCGGGGUAACGGCCCACCAAGGCUACGAUCAGUAGGGGUUCUGAGAGGAAGGUCCCCCACAUUGGAACUGAGACACGGUCCAAACUCCUACGGGAGGCAGCAGUGAGGAAUAUUGGUCAAUGGACGGAAGUCUGAACCAGCCAAGUAGCGUGCAGGAGGACGGCCCUAUGGGUUGUAAACUGCUUUUGUAUGGGGAUAAAGUUAGGGACGUGUCCCUAUUUGCAGGUACCAUACGAAUAAGAACCGGCUAAUUCCGUG
RNAcentral lists this ribosomal RNA (491 nucleotides) under uncultured bacterium. RNAcentral describes it as "partial 16S ribosomal RNA". It matches the Rfam family "Bacterial small subunit ribosomal RNA", at positions 29 to 507 of the family's 1533-position model. The record is from RNAcentral.